GGGCCUGUAGCUCAGUCAGGUAGAGCGAUGGACUCUUAAUCCAUCGGUCGCGGGUUCGAACCCCGUCAGGCCCGCCA
Molecule: transfer RNA, 77 nt
Filed under: Candidatus Poseidoniaceae archaeon
Lineage: Archaea; Methanobacteriati; Thermoplasmatota; Candidatus Poseidoniia; Candidatus Poseidoniales; Candidatus Poseidoniaceae
Description: tRNA-Lys
Rfam family: tRNA
About the family: Transfer RNA (tRNA) molecules are approximately 80 nucleotides in length.
Source: RNAcentral